UACGUAGGGUGCGAGCGUUGUCCGGAAUUAUUGGGCGUAAAGAGCUUGUAGGCGGUUUGUCGCGUCUGCUGUGAAAAUCCGGGGCUCAACCCCGGACUUGCAGUGGGUACGGGCAGACUAGAGUGUGGUAGGGGAGACUGGAAUUCCUGGUGUAGCGGUGAAAUGCGCAGAUAUCAGGAGGAACACCGAUGGCGAAGGCAGGUCUCUGGGCCACUACUGACGCUGAGAAGCGAAAGCAUGGGGGAGCGAACAGGGGUUAGAUACCCGGGUA
This 271-nucleotide ribosomal RNA is filed under the name uncultured prokaryote. RNAcentral describes it as "partial 16S ribosomal RNA". It matches the Rfam family "Bacterial small subunit ribosomal RNA", at positions 524 to 792 of the family's 1533-position model. The record is from RNAcentral.